GCUAAACGCGAAGAACCUUACCCAGGCUUGACAUGCAGAUGACUGCUUCAGAAAUGAAGAGUCCCUUCGGGGCAUCUGCACAGGUGCUGCAUGGCUGUCGUCAGCUCGUGCCGUGAGGUGUUGGGUUAAGUCCCGCAACGAGCGCAACCCUUAUCAUUAGUUGCCAACAUUUUAGGUGGGAACUCUAAUGAGACUGCCUGGGUUAACCAGGAGGAAGGUGAGGAUGACGUCAAGUCCGCAUGGCCCUCAUGUCUGGGGCUACACACGUGCUACAAUGGCCGGUACAAAAGGCAGCGAAACCGUGAGGUGAAGCAAAUCCCCAAAGCCGGCCCAGUUCAGAUUGUAGUCUGCAACUCGACUACAUGAAGAUGGAAUUGCUAGUAAUGGCGAGUCAGCAACAUCGCCGUGAAUACGUUCCCGGGUCUUGUACACACCG
Molecule: ribosomal RNA, 436 nt
Filed under: uncultured bacterium
Lineage: Bacteria
Description: bacterial SSU rRNA
Rfam family: Bacterial small subunit ribosomal RNA
Source: RNAcentral